AGCUGCGUGGUGGGCACAGAGCGAACUAUUCUUUCGCCUUUUACUAAAGAAUACCGUGUGCGCGCCACAUAAAGCAGCAUACGCCAAUUUUUAUGAGGGUUAUUUGUCCAAAAUAGCC
RNAcentral lists this small nuclear RNA (118 nucleotides) under Ananas comosus (pineapple). RNAcentral describes it as "U5 spliceosomal RNA". It matches the Rfam family "U5 spliceosomal RNA". Rfam says of the family: U5 RNA is a component of both types of known spliceosome. The record is from Rfam by way of RNAcentral. Lineage: Eukaryota; Viridiplantae; Streptophyta; Magnoliopsida; Poales; Bromeliaceae.